RNAcentral lists this ribosomal RNA (301 nucleotides) under uncultured bacterium. Its description in RNAcentral is "partial 16S ribosomal RNA". It matches the Rfam family "Bacterial small subunit ribosomal RNA", at positions 509 to 807 of the family's 1533-position model. The record is from RNAcentral.
CAGUAGCCGCGGGAAUGUGUAGGUGGCAAGCGUUGUCCGGAAUUAUUGGGCGUAAAGGGCUCGCAGGCGGUUUCUUAAAUCUGAUGUGAAAGCCCCCGGCUCAACCGGGGAGGGUCAUUGGAAACUGGGAAACUUGAGUGCAGAAGAGGAGAGUGGAAUUCCACGUGUAGCGGUGAAAUGCGUAGAGAUGUGGAGGAACACCAGUGGCGAAGGCGACUCUCUGGUCUGUAACUGACGCUGAGGAGCGAAAGCGUGGGGAGCGAACAGGAUUAGAUACCCGCGUAGUCCCUGUCUCUUAUAC